GACGAACGCUGGCGGCGCGCCUAACACAUGCAAGUCGAACGAGCGAGAGAGAGCUUGCUUUCUCGAGCGAGUGGCGAACGGGUGAGUAACGCGUGAGGAACCUGCCUCAAAGAGGGGGACAACAGUUGGAAACGACUGCUAAUACCGCAUAAGCCCACGGUGCCGCAUGGCACAGAGGGAAAAGGAGCAAUCCGCUUUGAGAUGGCCUCGCGUCCGAUUAGCUAGUUGGUGAGGUAAUGGCCCACCAAGGCGACGAUCGGUAGCCGGACUGAGAGGUUGAACGGCCACAUUGGGACUGAGACACGGCCCAGACUCCUACGGGAGGCAGCAGUGGGGAAUAUUGCACAAUGGGGGAAACCCUGAUGCAGCGACGCCGCGUGGAGGAAGAAGGUCUUCGGAUUGUAAACUCCUGUUGUUGGGGAAGAUAAUGACGGUACCCAACAAGAAAGUGACG
RNAcentral lists this ribosomal RNA (454 nucleotides) under uncultured bacterium. RNAcentral describes it as "bacterial SSU rRNA". It matches the Rfam family "Bacterial small subunit ribosomal RNA", at positions 28 to 495 of the family's 1533-position model. The record is from RNAcentral.